ACCUGCCCUGUAGAUCGGGAUAACACCGAGAAAUCGGUGCUAAUACCGGGUAAUAUCUGAGAUCACAUGAUCUUAGGUUAAAAGAUGGCUCCGGCUAUCACUACAGGAUGGGCCCGCGGCGCAUUAGCUAGUUGGUAAGGUAAUGGCUUACCAAGGCGACGAUGCGUAGCCGACCUGAGAGGGUGAUCGGCCACACUGGGACUGAGACACGGCCCAGACUCCUACGGGAGGCAGCAGUAGGGAAUCUUCCGCAAUGGACGAAAGUCUGACGGAGCAACGCCGCGUGAGUGAUGAAGGGUUUCGGCUCGUAAAGCUCUGUUGUUAGGGAAGAACAAGUAUCGUUCGAAUAGGGCGGUACCUUGACGGUACCUAACCAGAAAGCCACGGCUAACUACGUGCCAGCAGCCGCGGUAAUACGUAGGUGGCAAGCGUUGUCCGGAAUUAUUGGGCGUAAAGCGCGCGCAGGCGGUCUUUUAAGUCUGAUGUGAAAGCCCCCGGCUCAACCGGGGAGGGUCAUUGGAAACUGGGAGACUUGAGUACAGAAGAGGAGAGUGGAAUUCCACGUGUAGCGGUGAAAUGCGUAGAUAUGUGGAGGAACAC
This 600-nucleotide ribosomal RNA is filed under the name Halalkalibacter wakoensis. RNAcentral describes it as "bacterial SSU rRNA". It matches the Rfam family "Bacterial small subunit ribosomal RNA", at positions 124 to 709 of the family's 1533-position model. Lineage: Bacteria; Bacillati; Bacillota; Bacilli; Caryophanales; Bacillaceae. The record is from RNAcentral.